UUCCUUCUCCAUCCCUUGGCCGCUCUCUUUAGCCCUCCCUCCCUCCCUCCGUUGUUUAUCCCGGCCAUAGAUCCGAGGUCUUUUGUUUUGCAGGUGGUUAGCUUUGAGUCAUCAUGCUUGCGGAUGAUUUCGUCCACAUCUACGAGGUGUUGACUCGUUCGCCUCCAGAUCCGGGCGAAUCGGUGGAGAUCUGGAUGGGUUGUUUCACGUCGGCGAUGUCUGUUCGCUUCGGGCAUCCGAAUCUCGCUGAUUUCGCUUUGAUGGGGGAGAUCUGGCCCAGAUCUAACCCCGCGUCUCUCCGAUCUGUAGAGAUUUGACGAUCGUGCGCUGUGUAAGCCAUUCUGUUGUAAGAAAAUUAAAUUGAGAGAGGUGCGAUGUACUUGUUUUGGGUACCCUGGGGGUCUGGCUUGCUCGAGAGACGCAGUGAUCUGGAAGUUGUACUCGGUAUGUGUUUCCUUACGACCAGACCUUUGCCAUGUUGGGUGCGCUCGCAUGGCAGGUCGCCUUCAUUAAUAAAAUUUAUUUUUUUGUGUGUUU
Long non-coding RNA from Asparagus officinalis (garden asparagus), 537 nucleotides. RefSeq lists it as uncharacterized. The transcript is spliced from 2 exons. NCBI's taxonomy places the organism in Eukaryota, Viridiplantae, Streptophyta, Magnoliopsida, Asparagales, Asparagaceae. The record is from RefSeq and is a predicted model, not a curated record.